Molecule: ribosomal RNA, 494 nt
Filed under: uncultured bacterium
Lineage: Bacteria
Description: partial 16S ribosomal RNA
Rfam family: Bacterial small subunit ribosomal RNA
Source: RNAcentral
GACGAACGCUGGCGGCGUGCUUAACACAUGCAAGUCGAACGGUGAAGCGCCUUCCUUUUUGGUGGGUGUGGAUGAGUGGCGAACGGGUGAGUAACACGUGAGUAACCUGCCCCCUUCUCCUGGAUAACCGCAUGAAAGUGUGGCUAAUACGGGAUAUUCUGGGUCUGUCGCAUGAUGGGUCUGGGAAAGAUAUUGUUUCGGUGGGGGAUGGGCUCGCGGCCUAUCAGCUUGUUGGUGGGGUGAUGGCCUACCAGGGCGGUGACGGGUAGCCGGCCUGAGAGGGUGGACGGUCACACUGGGACUGAGACACGGCCCAGACUCCUACGGGAGGCAGCAGUGGGGAAUAGUGCACAAUGGGCGCAAGCCUGAUGCAGCGACGCCGCGUGAGGGAUGGAGGCCUUCGGGUUGUGAACCUCUUUCGCCAGUGAAGCAGGCCUGCCUCAUUUGUGGGUGGGUUGACGGUAGCUGGAUAAGAAGCGCCGGCUAACUACGUG